This 491-nucleotide ribosomal RNA is filed under the name uncultured bacterium. Its description in RNAcentral is "bacterial SSU rRNA". It matches the Rfam family "Bacterial small subunit ribosomal RNA", at positions 28 to 505 of the family's 1533-position model. The record is from RNAcentral.
GAUGAACGCUAGCGGCAGGCUUAAUACAUGCAAGUUGAGGGGCAGCAUGAUAUACGCGAGUAUAUUGAUGGCGACCGGCGGACGGGUGAGUAAUAGGUAGGAGACCUACCUCAUACAGGGGGAUAGCAUAGAGAAAUCUGUGGUAAUACCCCAUGAGGUUAUAUGAAUAGAGGCAUAUAAUCAAAGCAUAAGCGAUUAUGCGGUAUGAGAGGGGCCUACUGACCAUUAGCUAGUUGGUGAGGUAAGGGCUCACCAAGGCGAAGAUGGUUAGGGGUUUUGAGAGAGAGACCCCCCACAUUGGAACUGAGAGACGGUCCAGACUCCUACGGGAGGCAGCAGUAGGGAAUAUUGGGCAAUGGGCGAAAGCCUGACCCAGCCAUGCCGCGUGAAGGAGACGGCUUAGGGCUGUAAACUUCUUUACUACGCAAUAGAGGUUAGUACGAGAUACUAAUAGGAAGGUAGUAGUAGUAAAAAGCAACCGGCUAACUCCG